GACGAACGCUGGCGGCGUGCCUAAUACAUGCAAGUGGGACGCAAGGGAACACACUGUGCUUGCACACCGUGUUUUCUUGAGUCGCGAACGGGUGAGUAACGCGUAGGUAACCUGCCUAUUAGCGGGGGAUAACUAUUGGAAACGAUAGCUAAUACCGCAUAAUAUUAAUUAUUGCAUGAUAAUUGAUUGAAAGAUGCAAGCGCAUCACUAGUAGAUGGACCUGCGUUGUAUUAGCUAGUUGGUAAGGUAAGAGCUUACCAAGGCGACGAUACAUAGCCGACCUGAGAGGGUGAUCGGCCACACUGGGACUGAGACACGGCCCAGACUCCUACGGGAGGCAGCAGUAGGGAAUCUUCGGCAAUGGACGAAAGUCUGACCGAGCAACGCCGCGUGAGUGAAGAAGGUUUUCGGAUCGUAAAGCUCUGUUGUAAGUCAAGAACGUGUGUGAGAGUNGAAAGUCACACAGUGNCGGNAG
RNAcentral lists this ribosomal RNA (475 nucleotides) under uncultured bacterium. RNAcentral's name for it is "bacterial SSU rRNA". It matches the Rfam family "Bacterial small subunit ribosomal RNA", at positions 28 to 478 of the family's 1533-position model. The record is from RNAcentral.